UACGUAGGGUGCGAGCGUUAAUCGGAAUUACUGGGCGUAAAGCGUGCGCAGGCGGUUCGUUGUGUCCGAUGUGAAAGCCCCCGGGCUUAACCUGGGAAUGGCAUUGGAAACUGGCGAGCUUGAGUGCGGCAGAGGGGGGUGGAAUUCCGCGUGUAGCAGUGAAAUGCGUAGAGAUGCGGAGGAACACCGAUGGCGAAGGCAGCCCCCUGGGUCAAUACUGACGCUCAUGCACGAAAGCGUGGGGAGCAAACAGG
RNAcentral lists this ribosomal RNA (254 nucleotides) under uncultured bacterium. RNAcentral's name for it is "partial 16S ribosomal RNA". It matches the Rfam family "Bacterial small subunit ribosomal RNA", at positions 524 to 776 of the family's 1533-position model. The record is from RNAcentral.